RNAcentral lists this ribosomal RNA (253 nucleotides) under uncultured bacterium. Its description in RNAcentral is "partial 16S ribosomal RNA". It matches the Rfam family "Bacterial small subunit ribosomal RNA", at positions 524 to 776 of the family's 1533-position model. The record is from RNAcentral.
GACGGAGGAUGCAAGCGUUAAUCGGAAUUACUGGGCGUAAAGCGCACGCAGGCGGUUUGUUAAGUCAGAUGUGAAAUCCCCGCGCUUAACGUGGGAACUGCAUUUGAAACUGGCAAGCUAGAGUCUUGUAGAGGGGGGUAGAAUUCCAGGUGUAGCGGUGAAAUGCGUAGAGAUCUGGAGGAAUACCGGUGGCGAAGGCGGCCCCCUGGACAAAGACUGACGCUCAGGUGCGAAAGCGUGGGGAGCAAACAGG